Molecule: long non-coding RNA, 1488 nt
Organism: Megalobrama amblycephala (Wuchang bream)
Lineage: Eukaryota; Metazoa; Chordata; Actinopteri; Cypriniformes; Xenocyprididae
Exons: 3
Source: RefSeq, a predicted model, not a curated record
CGCCUUUUUAAAAAGAAUUUGGCAAAUGCUUUUUUCUCUCUAUUUACCAAUUGCUUUUCUUUGUCGGUUUGCCAAAUGCUUUUCUUUAUCUAUUUGUCAAUCGAGUGGUAAAAUGCCAUUGGACAGUACACACGUGGGAGCAACCAAUCAACUUUCGCCUCAAUUUGAAGAGCCAAUCCUCUCUCACUAGUAACACUCACUGUCAUUGGACAGUUAGUACGGUGACCGGGAGAGGACAUGAUCGGUUCAUUUAGUUUUGUCUCGGCCACGACAUAAUAAACUCGUGGGAACGUGAUAAUAUGUUGUGACCACGAGAUCGUUUUGUCGAGGUAAGGACAUCCUUAUGUCGUGGCAACGAUAUAUUUUUCUCGUGGCCAUGACUUCAUUACAUUGAGGGAACGACAUUAUUUCUCAUGGCCACGAGUUACAUGUGUAAACAACCUGCGCUACCAUAGCAACCUGGAAUUAUCAGAAAUGGAUAGGCCUAUAAUAAUAUUUAUUUUUAAUUUAGAAAAAGAACGGAAUUAAGAAAUUAUUGUAUUAACAUGAUGUCGUUACCUCGACAAAGCGAUCUCGUGGCCACGACUUAUUAUCACGUUCCCACGAGUUUAUUAUGUCGUGGCCGAGACAAAAUGAAAUGAACAGAUCAUGUCCUCUCCCGGUCACCGUACUAACUGUCCAAUGACGUGCAAAGAUGCCUUGCAAAGAAAGGAUAAAGAAAACAAAAAAAGAAGGAACUGCUUGAGGCAGCAAAAGGCAGUGGAUCCCUAUCCAGCUGGUUCAUGAAGAGCACAACAGAUGGACAGAGAGUGGAAAGUAAUAGAUCAGAUGAGGAGUUGGAGAUAGAGGAAGAAAAAGAGUGGAAUGUAGAGGCACAAGUGACAGAAAGAGAGCAGGGAACAGCAAGCCAGGAGACAAAGGCUGGUGAGAAAGUGGAAAAUGUAGAGGCACAAGCAACAGAAGCAAGUUAAUGCUUUUUUUUAAUCAGAUAAUAAAACUAUAUUGUACUGUACGAAACAUGGGCCACGUCGAUUUUACUAUAAUGUUUUCUAUAGUUUUUACUAUAACAGCUGUUCUUAAUUAUUCUGUAAAACAGAGAAGAAAAAGCCAUCAGGUUGGGACAACUUAAGACAACUUAGUUUCUAAUCCCAGAGUUAUUAUUAGGUGGAAAGAAAAUAUUUUUUUAACUUUUAAACUUAAAAUUGUCUUUCCCAUUCUGUUUCUUUUUCAAAACUGCAUCACAGCAUUUGCUGCCGUAUCAAUACAUAAUCAUCCAUAUCGAUACGCGAAUCAGCAAGGAAUGCAUCACAAUAUAUUGCUGUAUUGAUAUUUUGAGCAGCACUAUUUAAAGCCUUGUUCCAUGUGCCCCUUUUAUACUUUGAGCACCUGCCCCUCGAAAGGUCUCUGCACGGCCCUGUUCUGGAUUAUCAGCACAAGGAAGACACAAGUGUAAUAAAAAUAAAUUUUAUUAACAAAAAGAUAAACAAG